AGUGAACGCUGGCGGUAGGCCUAACACAUGCAAGUCGAACGGCAGCACAGUAAGAGCUUGCUCUUACGGGUGGCGAGUGGCGGACGGGUGAGGAAUACAUCGGAAUCUACUUUUUCGUGGGGGAUAACGUAGGGAAACUUACGCUAAUACCGCAUACGACCUACGGGUGAAAGCAGGGGAUCUUCGGACCUUGCGCGAUUGAAUGAGCCGAUGUCGGAUUAGCUAGUUGGCGGGGUAAAGGCCCACCAAGGCGACGAUCCGUAGCUGGUCUGAGAGGAUGAUCAGCCACACUGGAACUGAGACACGGUCCAGACUCCUACGGGAGGCAGCAGUGGGGAAUAUUGGACAAUGGGCGCAAGCCUGAUCCAGCCGUACCGCGUGGGUGAAGAAGGCCUUCGGGUUGUAAAGCCCUUUUGUUGGGAAAGAAAAGCAGCAGGUUAAGACCCCGCUGUUCGGACGGGACCCAAAGAAGAAGCACCGGCUAACUUCGU
Molecule: ribosomal RNA, 491 nt
Filed under: uncultured bacterium
Lineage: Bacteria
Description: partial 16S ribosomal RNA
Rfam family: Bacterial small subunit ribosomal RNA
Source: RNAcentral